GGCUCUAGAGGGCAGGGAGUGCGACUGCCGGGGUCCACGGAGGUUGGGACCCAUGAUCAUAUAGGUAAUUAGUAUAUAUAAUUUUCUAUUUGACACAGUAAGUAUUUGAAGACCCAUCACAAAGCAGCCUAUGCCGUAGAUAACUCUCCCUUCCAGUCCUAUUCUAUGUAACCUGAUCUAUCGAGCGGAGGGCAGGCCGCAGGCGAC
This 207-nucleotide long non-coding RNA is filed under the name Setaria italica (foxtail millet). Its description in RNAcentral is "long non-coding RNA (SITA_LNC004577)". Lineage: Eukaryota; Viridiplantae; Streptophyta; Magnoliopsida; Poales; Poaceae. The record is from RNAcentral.